This 497-nucleotide ribosomal RNA is filed under the name uncultured bacterium. RNAcentral's name for it is "partial 16S ribosomal RNA". It matches the Rfam family "Bacterial small subunit ribosomal RNA", at positions 28 to 507 of the family's 1533-position model. The record is from RNAcentral.
GAUGAACGCUGGCGGCGUGCCUAAUACAUGCAAGUCGAGCGAACAGACGAGGAGCUUGCUCCUCUGACGUUAGCGGCGGACGGGUGAGUAACACGUGGAUAACCUACCUAUAAGACUGGGAUGACUUCGGGAAACCGGAGCUAAUACCGGAUAAUAUAUUGAACCGCAUGGUUCAAUAGUGAAAGACGGUUUUGCUGUCACUUAUAGAUGGAUCCGCGCCGCAUUAGCUAGUUGGUAAGGUAACGGCUUACCAAGGCAACGAUGCGUAGCCGACCUGAGAGGGUGAUCGGCCACACUGGAACUGAGACACGGUCCAGACUCCUACGGGAGGCAGCAGUAGGGAAUCUUCCGCAAUGGGCGAAAGCCUGACGGAGCAACGCCGCGUGAGUGAUGAAGGUCUUCGGAUCGUAAAACUCUGUUAUUAGGGAAGAACAAAUGUGUAAGUAACUAUGCACGUCUUGACGGUACCUAAUCAGAAGGCCACGGCUAACUACGUG